Xyrichtys novacula (pearly razorfish) is the source of this 6006-nucleotide non-coding RNA. The record is from the annotation of a GenBank genome assembly. NCBI's taxonomy places the organism in Eukaryota, Metazoa, Chordata, Actinopteri, Labriformes, Labridae.
GUUCCUGCAUGUUUCCUUCUUUCGUUAUUAUUUUUCCUCCGCUUUAAACUGGAAAAUGGCCCACUUCCCACUGGCGAAAACUAAGGAAAUUUGGCAGGACGACCGGGCCUGGUGAAAAAUUCGAUAUUCUGAAGUCGCCCAAACAAUAAAAUGCAAAAUGGCUCCAUAGCGCCCCCUAAGGUGAAAAUUCACAUGACGGCUGUACGCUUUGUCAUAUUGACACAAAAAUUGACACACACAUGUAUCUCAAUAAGAUCUACAAAAAAGUCAGUGCGGGCGUAUCUGUCAAAUGUACAGUUAAUGGGUUAUUUUGCAUUUUUUGCAGAUCUGCACACAUUGGAAUUUCGCUAACUCCUCCGAAGGCUUUCGUUCAACCGGCACCACAUUUGCGCAGGCCAAUCUACCCCCCAUGGCCAUUAAAAGUUGUACAAAUCAUGACGCUGCACCCCACGGUUUACGUUCUAGGGGGCGCCAAAGAUAACCCAAAAUCCACAUUCUUAAAAGUCUUAUAACUUUUUAUUUUUGUCCUCACUGCCCUCCAAGUUUUCUAGGAUGAUGCAAUGUCCAGCCAUCAACACAUUUGUGAAGGAAUUUUUACUCCCCAAAAGAGCGCCCCCCCAUGGCAGGAGAAAAAAGUCAAUUUUUUCUUGUCCCCUUACAUGAAAAUACACAUUGUUGAGUGUCACGCCUGAACGCUUUGUCAUAUUGACACAAAAAUUGACAAUCAUUUGUAUCUCAAUUAGAUCUACGAAAAAGUCAAAAAGCGCGUAUCUGUAUAAUGUACGGUUAAAGGGCUAUUUCGCAUUUUUUGCCGAUUCGCACACAUUGGAAUGUGGCUAUCUCCUCCUAAGGCUUUCGUCCCACCGAUACCAAAUUUGCUCAGGGCAAUCUACACCCCAUGCCCAUUCAAAGUUGUAAAAAUCAUGACGCUGCACCCCACGGUUUACGUUCUAGGGGGCACCAAAGAUGACCCAAAAAUCCACAUUCUUAAAAGUCAUUUUGGCCACUGCAGGAGUACAGAGUACUGCAGUUCUAGGGGGCGCCAAAGAUGACCCAAAAAUCCACAUUCUUAAAAGUCUUUUUGGCCACUGCAGGAGUACAGAGUACUGCAGGAUACACACACAUACACACACACACACACACACACACACACACACACACACACACACUCAGAGUCUGUUUUUUAGCACCUGCAAAAACAUGCUGUUUACAUAUUUGACAAGAAUGCAGAGGCUUCCUUUUGCCCCUGAAAAAAAUCAGAUUUCAAACACAACUUGACUGUUCAUUUCUCCAAAAGACAACCAUGAAGCUCCAUCCAAACCUGAAGCAGAUAGUUGGUGCAUGUGUACAGUAACCUAAGGGGAGUGAGGUGACUAUUUCUGAGGAGAACAUGAGCAGUGAAGAUUCACCUUGGAGCUAGAACAGGGACGUGCACAUGAUUAUACAGGGGCAGGGGCUCAAGUUUUUUCCAGUCAUUUAUACAAUAUGGAAAUUAAUGUGAAAUUAAACCACAAAUAUGUGUGAUGAACUGUUUUUAAAACUUAAACUUCAAAUAAAAAUUGUAAACUUCAAAACAUAUGCAAAUUUUUAACAAAGAACAUAGUAAUUUACCUCUAUUUACAUCAAAAUGCAGGCAAUGGCCCAGGCGUUCUUUGUAAAAUUAUUUACAAAACACUGUAUAGUCUCACAAAUGUCACUUUUUAUUUAUGCCACUACAAAAAAACAUGAUGUAAAUGAUGCAUGAUGUAAAACAUGAUGUAAAAAACUUGUGUAGAUCCUCCUCUAUGUCAGUCCAUGUGUAAUUUUUCCAUAAUUCUUUGUUUUUUGCAGCAUUUUUGUUAGUGUAACUGCAGAUUGUGCUGACAGUCUAUGGCAAAAAAAACAAAAACUGAAAAUGCCUCAACAUGAACCCCUGGUGGUCUCUGAGGGUGAAACCUGCUAACUGCUGCAGCUCUGUCAGCUUCAGUCUCCCAUGCAGAGCCCGGAGCGCAUGUGUGGCUCUGCACCCUUAGCAGCGUUGCUAACUCCUCAGUAAGGAAAGCCUGCUUCAAUGUCAGAGUCUCUAAACUCCAGAAGAAGUCGAUAAAAGUCCCUUUCUUUCUAAAAAAAGUCGUUAGGGGGUCUGAAAAGUAAUUGAAUCUAACAACAAAGUCGCUAGGUUUGCAACUACGUGUCCCAGACUGCAUCCCUGCUGAGAGUCCCUCCCUCCCUUCUCAUGUUGCAGGAAGAACGUAAGCGCCCGCCCCUUGUCAAUCAGUCACCAUAUAAUUUUGGAUUGGUUGUUGUGGUGAAGUUUUCCACCAAUAGGAGAGAUGUUGUGGUGUGUUUUUUUUUUCUUUUGGCAAGCCUUUUCCGCCUGUAAGACCUGUCGCUAAUGUGUGCAUGCUAUGUUUUCCUGUCUCAUACAGCGCGAUCGAGCGCCGAACGUGAUCAAAAUAAGCAGAAAAAAAGUAUCGCGGACAUAAUUUAUCAUAACUCUGGUUUUAUUUGGCCUAUCAACACAAUUUAAAAACUGGUAUAUAGGUUGAGGUCCUCACUUUUGAGAUAAGUUGAAACGGAGAGUUAACGAGACUCCGUCUUGCAGCUACAUCCGGUUAAAUAUGUCAUGUGACUUGAACGCUGGGGAGCGUCAAUCGAAUCGAAUCAAACCUAACUCUCAGAUGAAUCUUCAAAAUUCACCUCAGAAAUAUGCUUAUUAUUCUUCUCAGAGUACUGCAGGAUACACACACACACACACACACACACACAGACACACACGCACACACACACACACACACACACACACACACACACACACUCAGAGUCUGUUUUUUAGCACCUGCAAAAACAUGCUAUUUACAUAUUUGACAAGAAUGCAGAGGCUUCCUUUUGCCCCUGAAAAAAAUCAAAUUUCAAACACAACUUGACUGCUCAUUUCUCCAAAAGACAACCAUGAAGCUCCAUCCAAACUUGAAGCAGGCAGUUGGUGCAUGUGUACAGUAACCUGAGGGGAGUGAGGUGACUGCUUCUGAGGAGAACAUGAGCAGUGAAGAUUCACCUUGGAGCUAGAACAGGGACGUGCACAUGAUAAUACAGGGGCAGGGGCUCAACUUUUUUCCAGUCGUUUAUACAAUAUGGAAAUUAAUGUGAAAUUAAAAAACAAAGUAUGACUGUCCUGUGUAGGUGACAGUGAUAUCCAAUAGGCUAGGCACUCACGAGGCUGGCUGUGGCAAGUGUAAGUGAAAGCAACACGCACUGGCAGGAAGAACAGCAAACGCCGAUGAAGGAAAAGGGUCUUUGCAGUGAUGGGCGUUACCAGAGAGGGCGAUGGCCAGAGGACACGAAUGGGACGGGGAGGCAGCGCGUUGGGGGGGGGGGGUGCGACACGGCUCGGGCCCGCCAGUGCCCCAACGGGGCCCUAGUUAGGGCCCGAGCGUAGCUGCUAAGCAGCUGCGAGAGCCCUAUUAUUCCCCAAGUGGUUUUUCUUUGUUUCUUUUUAGGGCCCGAGCGUAGCUGCUAAGCAGCUGCGAGAGCCCUCUUGUUCCUGAUGGAUUCUUCUUUUGUUAUUAUUAGGGCCCGAGCGUAGCUGCUAAGCAGCUGCGAGAGCCCUCUUGUUCCUGAUGGAUUCUUCUUUCGUUAUUUUUCCUCCGCUUUAAACUGGAAAAUGGCCCAUUUCCCACUGGCGAAAACUCAGGAAAUUUGGCAGGACGACCGGGCCUGGUGAAAAAUUCGAUAUUCUGAAGUCGCCCAAACAAAAAAAUGAAAAAUGGCUCCAUAGCGCCCCCUAUGGUGAAAACUCACCUGACGCCUGUACGCUUUGUCAAAAUUACACAAAAUUUGACACACAUGUGUAUCUCAAUAAGAUCUACAAAAAAGUCAGUGCGGGCGUAUCUGUCAAAUGUACGGUUAAAGGGCUAUUUCGCAUUUUUUGCCGAUCCGCACACAUUGGAAUUUCGCUAACUCCUCCGAAGGCUUUCGUUCCACCGGCAACAAAUUUGCUCAGGCCAAUCUACACCCCAUGGCCAUUAAAAGUUGUACAAAUCAUGACGCUGCACCCCAUGGUUUACAUUCUAGGGGGCGCCAAAGAUAACCCAAAAAUCCACAGUCUUAAAAGUCUUAUAACUUUUUAUUUUUGUCCUCACUGGCCUCCAAGUUUUCUAGGAUGAUGCAAUGUCCAGCCAUCAACACAUUUGUGAAGAAAUUUUUACUCCCCAAAAGAGCGCCCCCCCAUGGCAGGAGAAAAAAGUCCAUUUUUUCUUGUCCCCUAAGGUGAAAAUACACAUUGUUGAGUGUCAUGCCUGAACGCUUUGUCAUAUUGACACAAAAUUUGACACACACGUGUAUCUCAAUAAGAUCUACGAAAAAGUCAAUGAGCGCGUAUCUGUAUAAUGUACGGUUAAAGGGCUAUUUCGCAUUUUUUGCCGAUCCGCACACAUUGGAAUUUCGCUAACUCCUCCGAAGGCUUUCGUUCCACCGGCACCAAAUUUGCUCAGGCCAAUCUACACCACAUGGCCAUUAAAAGUUAUUCAAAUCAUGACGCUGCACCCCACGGUUUAGGUUCUAGGGGGCGCCAAAGAUAACCCUAAAAUCCACAUAUUUCAAAGUCUUAUAACUUUUUAUUUUUGUCCUCACUGGCCUCCAAGUUUUCUAGGAUGAUGCAAUGUCCAGCCAUCAAAACAUUUGUGAAGGAAUUUUUACUCCCCAAAAGAGCGCCCCCCCAUGGCAGGAGAAAAAAGUCCAUUUUUUCUUGUCCCAUAAGGUGAAAAUACACAUUGUUGAGUGUCACGCCUGUACGCUUUGUCAAAAUGACACAAAAUUUGACAAUCACGUGUAUCUCAAUAAGAUCUAUGAAAAAGUCAUGCGCAAAUAUCUGUAAAAUGUACGGUUAAAGGGCUAUUUUGCAUUUUUUGCCGAUUCGCACACAUUGGAAUGUGGCUAACUCCUCCUAAGGCUUUCGUCCCACUGACACCAAAUUUGCUCAGGCCAAUCUAUUCCCCAUGGCCAUUCAAAGUUGUAAAAAUCAUGACGCUGCACCCCACGGUUUACGUUCUAGGGGGUGCCAAAGAUGACCCAAAUAUCCACAUUCUUAAAAGAAUCCACAUCCCCCCCCUCCCCCCAUGGCAGGAGAAAAAGUCAAGUUUUUCCUGCCCAUCACUCAAUGGCUCAAUCGCAUCGCUCUCUCGGCAAAAGCGAAAGGAGGAGCAACUUGCCAUUUGGAUAUAUCCUAGCUGUGUUUGUGCCCUCACUCAUGGUCCAGACUUUUUUCAAAUAGGACAUGUAGUUUGUCUGCAGCGAGUGUUUUGGUAGAAACUGCGCCUCCCAUUCAUUAUAAUGGGAAAUGACCACAGACAAGUGCGCACUCCAUCUUUGGACCUAGAGUGUGACGCGAUCGGGAGGUGGAGGCGGUCGCGCUGGGGGCGGCGCGACGCGGCUCGGGCCCGACAGUGCCCCACCGGGGCCCUAGUUAUUAUUUUUCCUCCCCUUUAAACUGGAAAAUGGCCCACUUCCCACUGGCGAAAACUCAUGAAAUUUGGCAGGACGACCGGGCCUGGUGAAAAAUUCGAUAUUCUGAAGUCGCCCAAACAAUAAAAUGCAAAAUGGCUCCAUAGCGCCCCCUAAGGCGAAAAUUCACACUAUUGACUGUCACGCCUGUACGCUUUGUCAUAUUGACACAAAAAUUGAGACACACGUGUAUCUCAAUACGGUCUACGAAAAAGUCAGCGCGGGCGCAUCUGUGAAAUGUACGGUUAGAGGGUUAUUUCGCAUUUUUUGCCGAUCUGCACACAUUGGAAUUUGGCUAACUCCUCCGAAGGCAUUCGUUCCACCGGCACCACAUUUGCUCAAGCCAAUCUACACCCCAUGGCCAUUAAAAGUUGUACAAAUCAUGACGCUGCACCCCACAGUUUACGUUCUAGGGGGCGCCAAAAUAACCCAAAAAUCCACAGUCUUAAAAGUCUUAUAACUUUUUAUUUUUGCCCUCACUGGCCUCCAAGUUCUCUAGGAUGAUGCAAUGUCCAGCCAUCAACA